Long non-coding RNA from Gossypium arboreum, 344 nucleotides. RefSeq lists it as uncharacterized. The record is from RefSeq and is a predicted model, not a curated record. The transcript has 2 exons. Lineage: Eukaryota; Viridiplantae; Streptophyta; Magnoliopsida; Malvales; Malvaceae.
AAUGUUAUAAUAAUAAAACAUAAAAUAAAGUUGCAUGCAUUCAUUUUUAUUCUUCAAAAGCCGAAAAUACCAAAAGAAAAAGAAAGCUAUAUUCGGCCAUUAGCAAGCUUGAUUCAAGGUUUUGGAUCUAGUAACGGGCUCGGGGAUCGUCAGAGAAAUCUAUCACACUAUCGACUAUUUUCGGUACUUUAUAAAUUUGAACUUGAACCUAAGGCAUGUAUAGGCUAGAUUAUAUUUGGUUAAGUUUGAAGUUGUGUAUAUAUUAAGCCAUGCCAAAAUGGCUAAUAUGUUAUGUAAGUAUAUGAAAUUUUAGUCAAGUUUAUAUUUUUCAUAUGCAUUAACAA